RNAcentral lists this ribosomal RNA (1021 nucleotides) under Salmonella enterica subsp. enterica serovar Enteritidis. RNAcentral describes it as "partial 23S ribosomal RNA". It matches the Rfam family "Bacterial large subunit ribosomal RNA", at positions 127 to 1191 of the family's 2925-position model. Lineage: Bacteria; Pseudomonadati; Pseudomonadota; Gammaproteobacteria; Enterobacterales; Enterobacteriaceae. The record is from RNAcentral.
CCCAGUGUGACUCGUCACACUAUCAUUAACUGAAUCCAUAGGUUAAUGAGGCGAACCGGGGGAACUGAAACAUCUAAGUACCCCGAGGAAAAGAAAUCAACCGAGAUUCCCCCAGUAGCGGCGAGCGAACGGGGAGGAGCCCAGAGCCUGAAUCAGCAUGUGUGUUAGUGGAAGCGUCUGGAAAGGCGCGCGAUACAGGGUGACAGCCCCGUACACAAAAGCGCAUGUGCUGUGAGCUCGAUGAGUAGGGCGGGACACGUGGUAUCCUGUCUGAAUAUGGGGGGACCAUCCUCCAAGGCUAAAUACUCCUGACUGACCGAUAGUGAACCAGUACCGUGAGGGAAAGGCGAAAAGAACCCCGGCGAGGGGAGUGAAAAAGAACCUGAAACCGUGUACGUACAAGCAGUGGGAGCACCCUUUGGGUGUGACUGCGUACCUUUUGUAUAAUGGGUCAGCGACUUAUAUUCUGUAGCAAGGUUAACCGAAUAGGGGAGCCGGAGGGAAACCGAGUCUUAAUUGGGCGUUAAGUUGCAGGGUAUAGACCCGAAACCCGGUGAUCUAGCCAUGGGCAGGUUGAAGGUUGGGUAACACUAACUGGAGGACCGAACCGACUAAUGUUGAAAAAUUAGCGGAUGACCUGUGGCUGGGGGUGAAAGGCCAAUCAAACCGGGAGAUAGCUGGUUCUCCCCGAAAGCUAUUUAGGUAGCGCCUCGUGAAUUCAUCUCCGGGGGUAGAGCACUGUUUCGGCUAGGGGGCCAUCCCGGCUUACCAACCCGAUGCAAACUGCGAAUACCGGAGAAUGUUAUCACGGGAGACACACGGCGGGUGCUAACGUCCGUCGUGAAGAGGGAAACAACCCAGACCGCCAGCUAAGGUCCCAAAGUCAUGGUUAAGUGGGAAACGAUGUGGGAAGGCCCAGACAGCCAGGAUGUUGGCUUAGAAGCAGCCAUCAUUUAAAGAAAGCGUAAUAGCUCACUGGUCGAGUCGGCCUGCGCGGAAGAUGUAACGGGGCUAAACCAUG